RNAcentral lists this ribosomal RNA (502 nucleotides) under uncultured bacterium. Its description in RNAcentral is "partial 16S ribosomal RNA". It matches the Rfam family "Bacterial small subunit ribosomal RNA", at positions 28 to 507 of the family's 1533-position model. The record is from RNAcentral.
GACGAACGCUGGCGGCGUGCUUAACACAUGCAAGUCGAACGGUGAAGGGGUCUGCUUUUGUGGGCCCUGGAUGAGUGGCGAACGGGUGAGUAACACGUGAGUAACCUGCCCCCUUCUUCUGGAUAACCGCAUGAAAGUGUGGCUAAUACGGGAUAUUCUGGGUCUGUCGCAUGAUGGGUCUGGGAAAGAUUGCGCCUUUGGGUGUUUUUGGUGGGGGAUGGGCUCGCGGCCUAUCAGCUUGUUGGUGGGGUGAUGGCCUACCAAGGCGGUGACGGGUAGCCGGGCGGAGAGGGGGGACGGUCACACUGGGACUGAGACACGGCCCAGAAUCCUACGGGAGGCAGCAGUGGGGAAGAGUGCACAAGGGGCGCAAGCCUGAUGCAGCGACGCCGCGUGAGGGAGGGAGGCCUUCGGGGUGUAAACCUCUUUCGCCAGUGAAGCAGGCCUGCUCCGUGUGGGUGGGUUGACGGUAGCUGGAUAAGAAGCGCCGGCUAACUACGUG